RNAcentral lists this ribosomal RNA (429 nucleotides) under Bacteroidota bacterium. Its description in RNAcentral is "Bacteroidetes bacterium partial 16S ribosomal RNA". It matches the Rfam family "Bacterial small subunit ribosomal RNA", at positions 355 to 776 of the family's 1533-position model. Lineage: Bacteria; Pseudomonadati; Bacteroidota. The record is from RNAcentral.
UAGGGAAUCUUCGGCAAUGGGGGGAACCCUGACCGAGCAACGCUGCGUGAGUGAAGAAGGUUUUCGGAUCGUAAAGCUCUGUUGUUAAGGAAGAACGAGUGUGAGAAUGGAAAGUUCAUACUGUGACGGUACUUAACCAGAAAGGGACGGCUAACUACGUGCCAGCAGCCGCGGUAAUACGUAGGUCCCGAGCGUUGUCCGGAUUUAUUGGGCGUAAAGAGAGCGCAGGCGGUUAGAUAAGUCUGAAGUUAAAGGCAGUGGCUCAACCAUUGUAGGCUUUGGAAACUGUUUAACUUGAGUGCAGAAGGGGAGAGUGGAAUUCCAUGUGUAGCGGUGAAAUGCGUAGAUAUAUGGAGGAACACCGGUGGCGAAAGCGGCUCUCUGGUCUGUAACUGACGCUGAGGCUCGAAAGCGUGGGGAGCGAACAGG